This 236-nucleotide ribosomal RNA is filed under the name uncultured bacterium. Its description in RNAcentral is "partial 16S ribosomal RNA". It matches the Rfam family "Bacterial small subunit ribosomal RNA", at positions 15 to 244 of the family's 1533-position model. The record is from RNAcentral.
GACCAUGGCUCAGGAUGAACGCUAGCGGCAGGCUUAACACAUGCAAGUCGAGGGGCAGCAUAAUGGAUAGCAAUAUCUAUGGUGGCGACCGGCGCACGGGUGCGUAACGCGUAUGCAACCUACCUUUAACAGGGGGAUAACACUGAGAAAUUGGUACUAAUACCCCAUAAUAUCAUAGAAGGCAUCUUUUAUGGUUGAAAAUUCCGAUGGUUAGAGAUGGGCAUGCGUUGUAUUAG